This 500-nucleotide ribosomal RNA is filed under the name uncultured bacterium. RNAcentral's name for it is "partial 16S ribosomal RNA". It matches the Rfam family "Bacterial small subunit ribosomal RNA", at positions 30 to 523 of the family's 1533-position model. The record is from RNAcentral.
AUUGAACGCUGGCGGAAUGCUUUACACAUGCAAGUCGAACGGCAGCACGGACUUCGGUCUGGUGGCGAGUGGCGAACGGGUGAGUAAUGUAUCGGAACGUGCCCAGUCGGGGGGGAUAACGUAGUGAAAAUUACGCUAAUACCGCAUACGAUCUAUGGAUGAAAGCGGGGGAUCGCAAGACCUCGCGCGAUUGGAGCGGCCGAUAACAGAUUAGGUAGUUGGUGGGGUAAAGGCCCACCAAGCCAACGAUCUGUAGCUGGUCUGAGAGGACGACCCGCCACACUGGAACUGAGACACGGUCCAGACUCCUACGGGAGGCAGCAGUGGGGAAUUUUGGACAAUGGGCGAAAGCCUGAUCCAGCCAUUCCGCGUGCAGGAUGAAGGCCCUCGGGUUGUAAACUGCUUUUGUACAGAACGAAAAGGUUUCUACUAAUACUAGGAGCUCAUGACGGUACUGUAAGAAUAAGCACCGGCUAACUACGUGCCAGCAGCCGCCGUAA